GAUGAACGCUGGCGGCGUGCCUAACACAUGCAAGUCGAACGGAGUGCCCAGGAGGAAGUUUUCGGAUGGAAUUCGAAGGCACUUAGUGGCGGACGGGUGAGUAACACGUGGGUAACCUGCCUCAUAGAGGGGGAUAACAGAGAGAAAUCACUGCUAAUACCGCAUAAGCACACACUGCCGCAUGGCAGGGGGUGAAAAGAGAUAUCGCUAUGAGAUGGACCCGCGACUGAUUAGCCGGUUGGUAAGGUAAGGGCUUACCAAAGCAACGAUCAGUAGCCGAUCUGAGAGGAUGAACGGCCACAUUGGGACUGAGACACGGCCCAAACUCCUACGGGAGGCAGCAGUGGGGAAUAUUGGACAAUGGACCGAGAGUCUGAUCCAGCAAUUCUGUGUGCACGAUGAAGUUUUUCGGAAUGUAAAGUGCUUUCAGUUGGGAAGAAAGAAAUGACGGUACCAACAGAAGAAGUGACGGCUAAAUACGUGCCAGCAGCCGCGGUAAUACGUAUGUCACGAGCGUUAUCCGGAUUUAUUGGGCGUAAAGCGCGUCUAGGUGGUUAUGUAAGUCUGAUGUGAAAAUGCAGGGCUCAACUCUGUAUUGCGUUGGAAACUGUGUAACUAGAGUACUGGAGAGGUAAGCGGAACUACAAGUGUAGAGGUGAAAUUCGUAGAUAUUUGUAGGAAUGCCGAUGGGGAAGCCAGCUUACUGGACAGAUACUGACGCUAAAGCGCGAAAGCGUGGGUAGCAAACAGG
This 751-nucleotide ribosomal RNA is filed under the name uncultured Oribacterium sp. Its description in RNAcentral is "bacterial SSU rRNA". It matches the Rfam family "Bacterial small subunit ribosomal RNA", at positions 28 to 776 of the family's 1533-position model. Lineage: Bacteria; Bacillati; Bacillota; Clostridia; Lachnospirales; Lachnospiraceae. The record is from RNAcentral.